UUUGAUCCUGGCUCAGAACGAACGCUGGCGGCAAGCUUAACACAUGCAAGUCGAACGGACCGUACGCGCAGCUUGCUGCGUGUAUGGUUAGUGGCAGACGGGUGAGUAAUGCAUAGGAAUCUGCCUAGUAGUAUAGGAUAGCCACUAGAAAUGGUGGGUAAUACUGUAUAAUCCCUGCGGGGGAAAGAUUUAUCGCUACUAGAUGAGCCUAUGUCAGAUUAGCUAGUUGGUGGGGUAAUGGCCCACCAAGGCUGUGAUCUGUAGCUGGUCUGAGAGGAUGAUCAGCCACACUGGAACUGAGACACGGUCCAGACUCCUACGGGAGGCAGCAGUGGGGAAUAUUGGACAAUGGGCGCAAGCCUGAUCCAGCUAUGCCGCGUGAGUGAGGAAGGCCUUAGGGUUGUAAAACUCUU
This 413-nucleotide ribosomal RNA is filed under the name uncultured Anaplasma sp. RNAcentral describes it as "bacterial SSU rRNA". It matches the Rfam family "Bacterial small subunit ribosomal RNA", at positions 12 to 435 of the family's 1533-position model. The record is from RNAcentral. Lineage: Bacteria; Pseudomonadati; Pseudomonadota; Alphaproteobacteria; Rickettsiales; Anaplasmataceae.